This 512-nucleotide unclassified non-coding RNA is filed under the name Pocillopora damicornis (cauliflower coral). RNAcentral describes it as "uncharacterized LOC113678787, transcript variant X2". The record is from RNAcentral. Lineage: Eukaryota; Metazoa; Cnidaria; Anthozoa; Scleractinia; Pocilloporidae.
AAUCCCGGGGUGACGUCACAUGCAAACCAACAAUUCGGAAUGAAAGAGCUCGUGUGGAGUACGCCAGAGAGAAUCAGAGAGCCUUACCAGUAGAGGGGGAACCCACACUUCCUUUUCCUCGUGUAGAGGAAAGCGCAAGACAACAUUGUACAUGUAACAAUACAACCUACGGCGGAUUACAAGCGAUACGACGACAGCCACAAAUGCAUGACGAACGUUUUAGGAGGCAACAGCUACAGUUUACCACUGAAGACGCAGUGGACUUGCCUGAGUAGGCUUACUAAGAUUUCCACAAAUUUUCCGCGUUCCUGUGGUGAACUGGCUUUCUCCAGGGAAAGUGAAUGACAUUGUGUCGAUGGACAACAGUGAUAUAUUUUUUUAAUAUGAAAAACGGCCUAUACUUUAUACUUAAUACUCAUGCAUAUACUUUACAAUUGAAACUGUGUUUAAAAUGGCCGAUUUGAGAAAAAAGUCUGUGUACAAAUAAAACUAGAUGGCCCUAAAAACAGUAA